GUCCAGCCCGAUGUCCGCGGAUCGCCGCCGCUGAGGCCCCGACCCAAGCCAACAAGAAUGAACACUCACGUGUUUCGUCGGAAAAGAAGAACAAAGAUUGCUGGGAGGGAGAUUUUAUAUGGCGCCAAGUGCCGCGAGAACUAGACUGCAACGUUCCUAUCGCGAGUGUUCCAAGGGCCUAUAAGACAGCUUGUGAUUGGCUUCACGGGGCCUCGUCAGCUCUGCGUGCGCCUGCGCGUCUUCGGUUUCUCGGAGUCACUAUAAAUCGCCGCUCCGCUGCGCGCGCCUUCGCAGGCUGCAGGACUACCGGAUGCCCCAAGCCUGAGGCCGACGCCGCCAGGAUCGUGGCAGUAAAGGGACUUCGCUGUCCUCUUUUUUUGUUUAUCUACUUAAUUUAUUUUGUCCUAAUUUUUUAAUAAAGCUAUUUAUUAAAAA
Long non-coding RNA from Eptesicus fuscus (big brown bat), 435 nucleotides. RefSeq lists it as uncharacterized. Lineage: Eukaryota; Metazoa; Chordata; Mammalia; Chiroptera; Vespertilionidae. The transcript is spliced from 2 exons. The record is from RefSeq and is a predicted model, not a curated record.